This 464-nucleotide ribosomal RNA is filed under the name uncultured bacterium. RNAcentral describes it as "partial 16S ribosomal RNA". It matches the Rfam family "Bacterial small subunit ribosomal RNA", at positions 28 to 507 of the family's 1533-position model. The record is from RNAcentral.
GACGAACGCUGGCGGCGUGCUUAACACAUGCAAGUCGAGCGAUGAAGUUCCCUUCGGGGAACGGAUUAGCGGCGGACGGGUGAGUAACACGUGGGUAACCUGCCUCAAAGAGGGGGAUAGCCUCCCGAAAGGGAGAUUAAUACCGCAUAAUAUCUUUUUAAUGCAUGUUAGAAAGAUUAAAGGAGCAAUCCGCUUUGAGAUGGACCCGCGGCGCAUUAGCUAGUUGGUGAGGUAACGGCUCACCAAGGCGACGAUGCGUAGCCGACCUGAGAGGGUGAUCGGCCACAUUGGGACUGAGACACGGCCCAGACUCCUACGGGAGGCAGUAGUGGGGAAUAUUGCGCAAUGGGGGAAACCCUGACGCAGCAACGCCGCGUGAGUGAUGAAGGUCUUCGGAUCGUAAAGCUCUGUCUUCAGGGACGAUAAUGACGGUACCUGAGGAGGAAGCCACGGCUAACUACGUG